Molecule: unclassified non-coding RNA, 3027 nt
Filed under: Leishmania donovani
Lineage: Eukaryota; Euglenozoa; Kinetoplastea; Trypanosomatida; Trypanosomatidae
Description: gene:LdHU3.07.1060(CDS-product:hypothetical_prote in_conserved)
Source: RNAcentral
UCACAUUGCUAUCGGAUACGCGCUGGCAUCGCAGUACAACCAGCCGCGUCUGUCUGAGACUGAGCACCCUCACUCGCACGUAAACGCAGAGAGAGAGGCGCGCAAGGACGUGUGAGGCACUCAGACCCGACACGCUGUGUGCCACACGCACACUGCCUCACAGCCCCCUCCCCUCUCAUUGCCAGUACCGCCCAGGCCACCAUAUUACGUAGCGGAAGUGGCAAGAGCUCUCCUUCCUCCUCUACUCUCCCGCUCUGUCGCGCCGCUGUUCCUGUGUGCACCUCCGCGCACUCUUCGCGGUUGUUGUCGGGAACCCCUUCCGCUCACUGCCGCCGCCGCCGCCGUAGCCGUAGCCGAGCGCACAUACUCACUCGACUUUUUCAGCAUGUUCUGGCGUGCGUCCCCACGCGCGAUUCCUUUGGCCUUUUCUUUGUGUGUGCGCGUGCGCUAAUUGCACCGCCAUCCGUGUGUACCCCCCCCUCCAUCCCAUCUCAUCUCCACCUCUCCGUCCUUUCCACCUUCCCUUAGCAUCACCCGCCCAUCAGCGCCGUCGUGGCCGCGUGUGUUCGUGUUUUCGCACGCUCUCCUCCACCUCGUCUUGCCCCACCUGACCUUCUUGUGUUGAUUGUAGGGCAUAGCUUGCACCCUAUCUCUCCGCAUCGUCUGAUACACCAGCGACCGUGAAGAGGCCGCACCAGUGGUGUGCGGAAUAGCGUGCGCAGGCUGUUUGCCACCACAAGCCGUCUGCAGCCCCCUCCCCUCCCCUGCCGUCUGCCUUUCCGUUUUGAAAGCGAAAGAAAAUGCGCCUGCCAUCGCUGCCCUUCCGGACAUGUCUCACCCCCUCGGCUGCGACCACCAUGACGGCGAGAACUGGGUACCACCUCAAGCGGGCAUCGUGCGCCGCUGCGGUGUUCUUCCACUCGAGCCACCGCUGCUGCGCUGCUGUCGGCGCUGCCUCUCUGUGUCGGGUUUCUCUCCCUUGCCACCCACUGCUGUUGCUGAUGGCGAUGCACAGUGACGCGGCGACGAUCUCGCCGGCGGUAGCUAGCCCUCAGCGUCUGCGUGGGCACACCACCUCCGCGCGCGUCUCACGGUCGUUGCCACCGCUAUCCUUGACCUCGUCGCUGUCUCACGCCUCCUCGUCGUCCGCUCACCGCUGCCCCCCCAUCGAGGCAUUCACGGCGAGUGGCGGUCACUCCGCCAUGGCGGCGUGUUGCAUGGCGCGCCGCCACGCCUCGACUGGUCGCCGCCCCACCUUCACCGAAAUCGCAGAGGCGCUACAGGUGCUGGAGGUUAGCAUCGACGUGGACCCGAAGGCGCUCAAGAAGAGGUACCGCGAACUUGUAAAGAAGAACCACCCUGACGCUGGUGGGGAGGAGGCGACGAUGGCCCGCGUCACUGUCGCCUACGAGCGCCUCAGCGAGCUCACGAAUCGGGAGAGGGAAGAGUUUAAGCUGCAGAAGAAGAUGUUUCACAGCGGCAGCGGUGCGUCUUCGGCAGCAUCGCGGCGCUACCGUCCCAGCCCACCGGGCGGCUUCGGGUACGCGGCUCCAGACGAACCGUUCCAGGCACAGGCGGCGAACAUGUACGGGCAGUAUUAUCAGCAAGACGCCAACAACGCCUACCACCGGGCACACGACAAAGGGCACAACGGCUACUGGAACCACUUCCACAACCGCGGCGGCUCCGGUGGCUUCGCCGAGAACCCCUUCACUUCCAGAAGUCCGUUCAGCAUGUACGCGCAGGCACAGCGCGCCCGCUUCAUGCCGCCUGGAUCGCUGCUCAUCCAAGGGUUGGUUGUCUACCUUGUCUUGUCCACCAUGUUCCUCUUCGCUUAUCGGUCGUACCGCGACUGGCGGCACGAUGACGGCUGGCGCAUGUCGGAGAGCCUGGCGCGACAUGAGCAGAUGGAAGAGCUGCACCGCAUUCGACAAGAGAUGAACGAACGCGCGCGCGCCAUGCAGCACCUCGACGACGAAGACGCGACCGCCGCGUCGUACCGCAGUCGGCAGUACGUCGGGGAGUCGCCCACGGCUCGCGCGUACGAGUACGCCCGUCAGCGCCGGAUUCAAAUGAUGCAGGAGCAGCAAGAGACUGCCGCGAACCUGCCGGAGCUGCGCGGGUGGCCUAGGAUCGGGGAAGACAAGGGGCGCAUCAUCAAGCGUGCGCAGGACCCGUCUGGCAUUGUAUUCUUCGAGCCUCGCAAGGAGGACAGCCGGCGCCGCCAGAUCGAGAAUCAUCGCAGGGGCAGCGGCUUUACGCGCGCCUCUUCGAAUGAGUCGCCGCCGCCACAGCUGAACGAGGCUGCUCAAGUUCCUCUGUGUGACGCGGCGACUGCGGCGGCGGCGACUGCAUCGUCGCUUGCCGCAGACAGCAGCGCCCCGCUACCACCCGAAGCGAACGUCAGCUCAGUUGUGGUGAAGCCGGUGGGUAGUGAGCAGGAGGCGCAGGCCGUCAUGCGCGGCAUCUUCGGUGAUCUUCGCAAGAUCGUCUCGUAGAGAGCAGGCACGUUCGUUUGCACCUCCCUUUUUCGAUGCCGCGGCUGUGUGCACACGUGUGAGCCUGCGUUGUGGCUGAUCAUGAUUUCUUUGAUGCUGUUGUUGAUUGAUCUACGUGCGUCGUGAUGCCGUGGCACCAUGCCCCUCUGUCUCCUUCCCUCUGUGCAUAGGCGCGCACCAGGGCGGCAACAACGGGGCGUUCUCUGCAUAUGUGUGUGUGUGUGACUCCCGCCGGUUGCGCAUGCACGUGUGCGUGUGCACGGAGCACCCUCAGCGGGCUACCACGGCUGCCGGUACGUCCACGGACUCUCGCACCUCUCUCGCCCGCGUCUUCUUCUUCGCUUCGCCGCCAUGCGUGCGUGUGUGCAGUCCACGGCUUUCGGUUGUGAUGGCGCAUUCUUCGACAGUGGUGUUCUUCGUCCAAAGGGCAUCUUCUCCUCCCCUAAAGUCUUCCUCGUCCUCACCGCUGUUCUUGUCGCUCACUUUCGCUCGGCUGUCGUACUCCCCCCGCGCUCACCCACAGCGCGCA